RNAcentral lists this ribosomal RNA (445 nucleotides) under uncultured bacterium. Its description in RNAcentral is "partial 16S ribosomal RNA". It matches the Rfam family "Bacterial small subunit ribosomal RNA", at positions 354 to 796 of the family's 1533-position model. The record is from RNAcentral.
GUAGGGAAUAUUGGGCAAUGGAUGCAAGUCUGACCCAGCCAUCCCGCGUGCCGGAAGAAGGCCCUCAGGGUUGUAAACGGCUUUUGACGGUGAAGAACCGACAGGAUGCGUCCUGUUUUGACGGUAGCCGUUGAAUAAGCACCGGCUAACUCCGUGCCAGCAGCCGCGGUAAUACGGAGGGUGCGAGCGUUGUCCGGAUUUAUUGGGUUUAAAGGGUGCGUAGGCUGGAAGGUCAGUCAGCGGUGAAAAGCUAUCGCUUAACGAUAGUCUUGCCGCAGAUACUUCCUUUCUUGGAUGAGGAGGAGGCCACUGGAACGGAUGGUGUAGUGGUGAAAUGCAUAGAUAUCAUCCAGAACACCGAUUGCUAAGGCAGGUGGCUGUACCUUAAUCGACGCUGAUGCACGAAAGCAUGGGGAGCAAACAGGAUUAGAAACCCCUGUAGUCC